CUUUGCAGGACAGUCGAUCGCCAGGAGCAGGGUUGGGCACCCCUGUUGUUAACCAUAUGGGUGGACACAGAGAGGCUGGACAGAGUUUAGCCCCACUUCAGCAGAUAUACUGUUGCUAUAGUCAUUCAGACAAUUCAACAAGAGCACAGGAUUGAGGGUCGAGAAUGUAAAGGAGGACCCAUAUUUACUCCGGAACAAGAGAGAACUAUUGUAAAUGUGGUUUUGGCCAAAAAUGUAAUACGGCUCAGAAAUACAAUCAAGCAUCCUCAAUUACCACACAAUUUUUAAUAAUGUCCAUCAGGUCUCCCUGUCAACACUGGGUGAACCCUUAACUUUCUGCAAUUUUUUUUUCUUUUUUUUUCUCCAUUUGAAAGAAAUUCUGAAAACUAAAAGACCUGUGGCAUGAAUAUUUGCAGAGAGCGUCUUGCUAAUUGAUGCUGAUCCAAUCCCACAUGAAUUCAGCUUCAUAGAUGAGGCUGGGUUUAACCUGACAAAAGAAGAAGAAGAAGAAAAAAAAAAAAAAAGAAACCUCAUUGGCCACAGAGGUGUUUUGAAUGUCCUGUGCAAACAUGGUUGUAACCUCACAAUGUGUGCUGCAAUCACCCAGAAUGGGGUCCUCCACUGCCAUGCCAACACGUGUCCUUACAACACAGCCCACAUAUUCACAUUUUUAGAUGGACUACACAACAUUGUUACAGCAGAGGACCAAAUGGAUGCAGAGCAGAAGAGAUGCAUUGUCGUCUGGGACAAUGUGUCAUUCCACCGAUCUGCUUUGCUGCUCUGGUCCAAAACUGGUUUUAUGAAUGUUCAUGAUUUUCAGUCCACUAUUUACCUCCCACAAUACGUUCCCUUUCUUAAACCCAUUGAGGAGUGUGCGUUUCUCUUUUUGGCGUGGUGGUGGAAGGUUUAUGACCUCCAGCCCUAUGACAGGAUACUCUUCAUUCAAGUAAUGGAAGAGGCCUGUGACCUAAUUGAAGCAGGAUCUGUGCAAGGAUGGAUUCCGCAUUCAAGAAGAUUCCCUUACUAUCUUGCGAGAGAUGAUACAGCCUGUGAGGUGGACAGAGUGCUAUGUCCAGAUCCAGCUAGGGUUAUGCUUAAGCUUCGUUUUCCCCUCAUGUAUUCUUUUUGUCUCCACAAACGUUUUUAUAUUCUAUACCCUAUAUAGUAUAAUGUUCUGAUUUUCUGUGCAAAGUGGAAAUGCAUGGAAGCACCUUUUGGAAAUGCAUGGCUGUAUUGACUGAUUUUAAAAUGUAAAGAGAAAUAUUCAAUGUGCAGUACUGGUGUUGUGAUUGGUCAUUCACAUACAUUUACUCUUACAAUAUCAAUGGGGAAAAAUAUCAUUAGAAAAGGAGAAACAUUACACGUGUUUAAGAUUACGCGCAACAGUGUUUAAGUGGUUCAAACAGGAAAGUUUGUGCUGAUUUGAUUUCUGAAAAAUUUGCCUGUACUGGGAAUAAAUGUUGUCAUUUUUAUACUUCUCAUGAUGUGUUGAAAUGACUGAAUGAGUAAAUAUGAUGUUACUGACACGGAGACGGAGAAUACAAACCACACAAUUUACAUUUGAGUG
Molecule: long non-coding RNA, 1567 nt
Organism: Sinocyclocheilus grahami
Lineage: Eukaryota; Metazoa; Chordata; Actinopteri; Cypriniformes; Cyprinidae
Exons: 3
Source: RefSeq, a predicted model, not a curated record